AGAGUUUGAUCAUGGCUCAGAAUCAACGCUGGCGGCGUGCCUAACACAUGCAAGUCGCACGAGAAAGGGUAGCAAUACCUGAGUAAAGUGGCGCACGGGUGAGUAACACGUGAAUCAUCUACCUUCGAGUGGGGAAUAACUGAGAGAAAUCUUAGCUAAUACCGCAUAAUACCUACGGGGUCAAAGCAGCAAUGCGCUUG
Molecule: ribosomal RNA, 200 nt
Filed under: uncultured bacterium
Lineage: Bacteria
Description: partial 16S ribosomal RNA
Rfam family: Bacterial small subunit ribosomal RNA
Source: RNAcentral